This 363-nucleotide ribosomal RNA is filed under the name Dendrobaena alpina. RNAcentral describes it as "partial 12S ribosomal RNA". It matches the Rfam family "Bacterial small subunit ribosomal RNA", at positions 875 to 1415 of the family's 1533-position model. Lineage: Eukaryota; Metazoa; Annelida; Clitellata; Crassiclitellata; Lumbricidae. The record is from RNAcentral.
UAGCCGAGUAAUACGAAUUAUAAUUUAAAACUCAAAGAUUUUGGCGGUGUCUUAUAAAACCAGGGGAACCUGUCUCAUAAAUCGAUAGUCCACGAAUUCCUUACCCUUAUUCGAUCUCAGCAUGUAUACUGCCGUCGUAAGCACACCUCUAAAAGUUAAGUAUGCAACUAUGAUGUCCCUCAUCUACGUCAGGUCAAAGUGCAGCCUAUACAGGGGAAGACGAUGGGUUACACUACUAAUAGGGUGCUAACUACAAGAUUAAAACUUGUACAAAGUUGGACUUGAGUGUAAUAACAACUUAAUACCGUAAUGAAACUGAAUUUAAGACAUGCACACAUCGCCCGUCACUCUCGCCUAAAGGCG